RNAcentral lists this non-coding RNA (26 nucleotides) under Mus musculus (house mouse). Lineage: Eukaryota; Metazoa; Chordata; Mammalia; Rodentia; Muridae. The record is from RNAcentral.
UGACAAACUUUAUUUUCCCAGGCAGG